CAGUAGCCGCGGGAAUACAGAGGGUGCGAGCGUUAAUCGGAUUUACUGGGCGUAAAGCGUGCGUAGGCGGCUUCUUAAGUCGGAUGUGAAAUCCCUGAGCUUAACUUAGGAAUUGCAUUCGAUACUGGGAAGCUAAAGUAUGGGAGAGGAUGGUAGAAUUCCAGGUGUAGCGGUGAAAUGCGUAGAGAUCUGGAGGAAUACCGAUGGCGAAGGCAGCCAUCUGGCCUAAUACUGACGCUGAGGUACGAAAGCAUGGGGAGCAAACAGGAUUAGAUACCCGAGUAGUCCCUGUCUCUUAUAA
Molecule: ribosomal RNA, 301 nt
Filed under: uncultured bacterium
Lineage: Bacteria
Description: partial 16S ribosomal RNA
Rfam family: Bacterial small subunit ribosomal RNA
Source: RNAcentral